GAUGAACGCUGGCGGCGUGCCUAAUACAUGCAAGUCGAGCGAACAGACGAGGAUCUUGCUCCUCUGACGUUAGCGGCGGACGGGUGAGUAACACGUGUAUAACCUACCUAUAUUACUGGUAUAAUUUCGGGAAACCGGCUCUUAUACCAUAUAAUAUAUUGAACCGUAUUGUUCAAUAGUGAAAUUCGGUUUUUCUGUCACUUCUAGAUGCUUCCCCGCCGCAUUAGCUAGUUGUGAAGGUAACGGCUUACCAAGGCAAGGAGGCGUAGCCGACAUGAGGGGGUGGUCGGCGACACUGGAAGUGAGACGGGGUCAAGAGUCCUAAGGGAGGCAGCAGAAGGGAAUCUUACGCAAAGGGGGAAAGGAUGACGGAGCAAGGGCGAGUGAGAGAUGAAGGUGUUGGGAUCGGAAAAAUCUGUUAUUAGGGAAGAACAAAUGUGGAAGGAACUAUGCAGGUAGUGACGGUAACGAAUCAGAAAGCAACGGCUAACUACGUG
This 497-nucleotide ribosomal RNA is filed under the name uncultured bacterium. Its description in RNAcentral is "partial 16S ribosomal RNA". It matches the Rfam family "Bacterial small subunit ribosomal RNA", at positions 28 to 507 of the family's 1533-position model. The record is from RNAcentral.